GGCGUGGCCGCAGGAGAGACAUCAACAACAAGGUGACCUUUAGAAGUCAAACGAAAAGAAUAACAUAUAAUAACGUUAGUUUUUUAAGGAAAAAGUGUUAAAAUACAUAUGUUUUUGAGGGAAAAACCAACAGCACAAAAAGACCUUUGAGAGAAAAGAAAUAUGUGCUUAAAAAUAUACAAUUUCAACGUGGCAUGCUCCUGAAGAUGAAUGUAAAAAACAUUUGAAACCGGUAGAGCCAAAAAUAAAUAACCAUCCAUCUAGUAAAAAAUAAA
Onthophagus taurus is the source of this 275-nucleotide non-coding RNA. The record is from RefSeq and is a predicted model, not a curated record. NCBI's taxonomy places the organism in Eukaryota, Metazoa, Arthropoda, Insecta, Coleoptera, Scarabaeidae.